RNAcentral lists this ribosomal RNA (750 nucleotides) under uncultured bacterium. Its description in RNAcentral is "bacterial SSU rRNA". It matches the Rfam family "Bacterial small subunit ribosomal RNA", at positions 44 to 783 of the family's 1533-position model. The record is from RNAcentral.
GGGAGCUUUACUGGCAGUUCGAGGGGCAGCGAGGGUGAUAGCAUAUUACCUUGUCGGCGACCGGUGCACGGGUGCGUAACGCGUAUGCAACCUACCAUCAACAGGGGGAUAACACUGAGAAAUUCGGUACUAAUACCCCAUAAUAUCUCAUGCGGCAUCGCAUGGGGUUGAAAACUCCGGUGGUUGAUGAUGGGCAUGCGUUGUAUUAGCUGGUUGGUGAGGUAACGGCUCACCAAGGCGACGAUACAUAGGGGGACUGAGAGGUUAACCCCCCACAUUGGUACUGAGACACGGACCAAACUCCUACGGGAGGCAGCAGUGAGGAAUAUUGGUCAAUGGACGCAAGUCUGAACCAGCCAUGCCGCGUGCAGGAUGACGGCUCUAUGAGUUGUAAACUGCUUUUGUACGAGGGUAAACCCCGAUACGUGUAUCGGGUUGAAAGUAUCGUACGAAUAAGGAUCGGCUAACUCCGUGCCAGCAGCCGCGGUAAUACGGAGGAUCCGAGCGUUAUCCGGAUUUAUUGGGUUUAAAGGGAGCGUAGGCGGAUUAUUAAGUCAGUUGUGAAAGUUUGCGGCUCAACCGUAAAAUUGCAGUUGAUACUGGUAGUCUUGAGUGCAGCAGAGGUAGGCGGAAUUCGUGGUGUAGCGGUGAAAUGCUUAGAUAUCACGAAGAACUCCGAUUGCGAAGGCAGCUUACUGGACUGUAACUGACGCUGAUGCUCGAAAGUGUGGGUAUCAAACAGGAUUAGAU